ACUUUAGGGUUAUGAGAUUUUUCAUUUUAAAGAUUUAAUUCGAAUAAAAUGUAAUCAUUGGUUGUAUGGCGCUGAUAGCAGUAGAUUACAAGGGAAUGAACAUAAUUUGAGAAGCCUUUUUUAUGAUUAAGUAUGUGGUAUUGAGUAUAUCUUGGUAUAAAUUUGAUGUUGUGCAAGUUUUCUUUUUGAAAUCUGACUUUUUCUAAACUAAUCUCUUACUUCUUGCGGGGUUUGUUGUUGAUCCUGAUCUUUGUUCUAUGGAAUUUUACACUAGGUAAUUCAGAUGAAUCCUUCCUUCACAAUAGUGCUUUUCCUCCAAGUAGGAUUCAUUAAUUAUUGCUGCGGUGAACUCGCAAAAGAUCUUAUUAAAAUUCAAGAAAAAUAUGAUCCAUCAACAUACCUUCCCAAAAGUGACUUAGAAUUACUCAAUGAAGCAUUCAAGGGUAUCGCUAAUGAAAAACUUGAGGAUACAUUAGCCAAACGUUUGAUUGAACAAAGAAUACUUAUACUCGAGUCUGUGAGUACGAAUACAAACAAAUAUACAUUACAUUAGUUACUUAUUAUCUACCUAACAAUCCUUUACUACUAGUCUCGGUAAUGGUAUGCCUACCAAGGCCCUAGUUGACCGAUGUGGUUGUAAGUCGUAACAUGGGAGAGCGUCCGUUGUUGGUUUAUAAGUUUAUUGCAACCUAUCGCGUACUUAGCCACUGAAAAUAAGGCCUACAAUCUGCUUUGAUGUUUGGAAUGGGCACAACAUCCAUCCAUCUAGAAUAUCUGUCAAUCAUUAUAAGCAGGUAUUUUUGGCCAUAGCUUUUUGGAAAAUGGACCAACAAUAUCAAUGUGAACUCGUUCAAAUUUUUCAGAUGGUGGAAAUGCCUGGUAGCUAGAUAGAGUGUGUUUUGUGAUUUUGGCUUUUUGGCAAAGGUCACAACUUUGAGCCCAGUUACGAAUUUGUUUUCUUAUUUCCAGGCUUGUUAACCGAAAACAAAAUAUUUCUGGUUAGGUUUACAGUUAAAAAUUAAACAAGAAAUUCAAAAUUUUGGUUAAAGGUUACGGUUAAGGUUAUUCAUUUUCUAAAGUUACAGUUAAGGUUCAGGUUACGGUUACUGAUGACCAUUUUUUUCAGUUAAUGGUUAAGGUUAAGGUUACGGUUUUUGGUGGUAAUUUUUCCAGUUGAGCUCAU
Planococcus citri (citrus mealybug) is the source of this 1183-nucleotide long non-coding RNA. RefSeq lists it as uncharacterized. NCBI's taxonomy places the organism in Eukaryota, Metazoa, Arthropoda, Insecta, Hemiptera, Pseudococcidae. The transcript is spliced from 3 exons. The record is from RefSeq and is a predicted model, not a curated record.